CCAACAUGGAGAGAUUAAGUACGCGCCUUACACACUGUCCUGUCAUGGCGGCAGGGUAAAUGGAUGCCAGGACCGCCUGCGACCUCAGGCACUCCUCAGUCAGUCAGUGCUACAGAACGGAAAGAUAAGUCUGCCACUAAGUCAUAACCCUCCCGGGACACUGCGUUUUCCUCUCAGAAGGAAGCAGAGUUUGUAAUAGUUGAAGCCACAUGUCUCUAUGGACUGGAAUAUUGUUGAAACAGCUUCACUCAAGUGAGGAGACUUAACUGUAUAAUUCAGCCUGGUGCUUUACCUUCUCCGACCCCAUCAUGUCAGGACCACCACCGCACCAAGCAAAGCACCUAGCCUUUUUCUGCUCAACCUGUGGCUCAAACAUCCUAGCAAGAUAAGCCGUUUGCAGUCCUCCACAGAACACUUUCCUGUUUCCAGCCUCUGUGGUCUCUGUUCCUUUUUGUGUUUGGUAUCUUGUCUUUAAACAACUUACCCUUUCCUCUUUACCAAUUGAAGUUGAAAAACAG
This is a long non-coding RNA of Zalophus californianus (California sea lion), 518 nucleotides long. RefSeq lists it as uncharacterized. The record is from RefSeq and is a predicted model, not a curated record. Lineage: Eukaryota; Metazoa; Chordata; Mammalia; Carnivora; Otariidae. The transcript is spliced from 3 exons.